GGAACACAAGAGCCAUGCUGUCAGGAGUCCAUGCUACAUGUGGAAAAACCACAUGAAGUUUUUCUAAUUGAGAGCCCAGUCCAUCUCACCAGGAGCCAACUUCAACUGUGAGUCAACUUUCAGAGGACUUCAGCCUCAGCUGCCAUUUGCCAGAAAACACAUGAAAAGUCAUAAGCAAGACCUACCAAAAUUAUCCAGGACGAUUCCAGAGAAACAUGGAAGAUAAUACCAAACCUUUUUCAGGCUCAUUGAAAAAUUUUGCUGGUACCAUCUGCCUCCUUCUUCAAUAAUAAGAGCCAACAUUUUUAUAGAGCCUUCCACUGACUCUGCAUCAAUAAAAGUCUUCAUAAAAUGUUAUAAAAGUACGUGAUAUAUACAAAGGUUGCAGACCACCAGCCAAGAGCUCACACACUGGCAUUGCCCUGAAGACGAGAUUGAGUGGUGCUGUGCUGUAAUAUCCCUGCAGGUGUGUUUCUUCCAGACAGUGGGAGACCUGGAGAGAGAGAGCAGAGCUUUUUGCUUUCCAGAGCCCCUUCACCAUAAGGUGUAAGACAUGAUUAAAAAAGAGCUAGUUGCCCUGUUCACAGUGAGACUCAGAGUUCACUCGCAUCUUAUGCUUUGCUUUUCAAAUAAGAACACUUGAUUGCAAAGAUUGUGAGGCCUCCCCUAACCCUGACACUCCUGGUCUCCCUCUGCUGAAGCAUUCUCAGCCACAGAAAGAUUUCAAAGGCUGGGGAGUUGCUGACGUAACCAACCAAUUGUAGCUUAUACACAUCAUGUCUCUUUGGCUCCAACAUGCCAUUUCCUCUGGAAGAUCAGGAUUCACUUGCCUCUAAUUUAUCUGUGACAGGAGGUUUCUUUAAUAACAAAUUCUUAGAUAUUUAUAAGUUUGGUAUUUCAUAAGCAGUGCUUUUAUGUUUGUACAAACAUGGAGAGUGUUAAGAGUCUUUCAGGAAUAGACAAAACCAUCUUUAGCAUAAAAAGGGAAAUAGUUUUGGUGGUGUUGGUGGUGGUGGUGGUUUAGCACAAUCCUGUGGAUAAGUAAUAGUAAUUGAGUCAGAAAAUCUAGAUUCUGUUUUUGAUUUCCCUAGCUAGAUGAUGCUAGCCAUAUAUGAAGUUUUAAAUUUUCUAGUAGCCACAUUACCAAAUAAAAAUAUGCUAGUGAAAUUAAUUUUACUAAUAUAUUUUAUUUAAACUAAUAUAAAUAAAGUUUCAGGAUAAAAAUAAUUUAUAAGAUAUUUUAUAUUAUUUUACUUGUACUAAACAUUCAAAAACCUGCUAUGUUUUAUACACGCAGCUUAAUUUCAAGUGGGUAUUCUACACAAGUGGCUGGGAGCUGCGAGCCAUAUUGGACAAAUAUUGGGAUGUGAACCAGGGCAGACUCAGUGCCUUUAUGGGAGGAAAAAAAACAAGGUAGAGAUGGAGAUUUGACAAUCAAAAGUAGAUUUGGAGGUGAAUAAUGCAGAAUUUCAGAGGAAAAUCAUGUUUUCUGUGUGAGUGUAUACCUUUCCCUCAAACACACAUUUUUUUACCUUAACAAAAAUUGCGUUAUAAUUGACUUGUAAUGUUGUGUUAGUUUCAGAUGUACAGCAAAAUGAUUCAGUUAUAUGUAUAUGUAUAUAUACAUCCAUUCUUUUUCAGAUUCACUUCCCAUAUAGGUAUUACAGAAUAUUGACUAUAGCUCCCUGUGCUAUACAGUAGGUCCUUGUUGACUACCAAAUUUAUAUAUAGCAGUGUACAUAUGACCGCACCUUUUAGUGAAUCUUUAGUAAAUUCAAAUUUAUUUUGGGCAAGGAGGAGAAAUGCUAAAUCCUAUUCCAUGACUUAUUAGCUCUAAGUACAUUUGCAAAAUGUAAACAUAUAAAAACCUAUUGCAUGUAUUGCUAAUAAACUUUGAUUCUGUUCUGA
This 1908-nucleotide long non-coding RNA is filed under the name Sus scrofa (pig). Its description in RNAcentral is "lncRNA (ENSSSCG00050061776.1)". The record is from RNAcentral. Lineage: Eukaryota; Metazoa; Chordata; Mammalia; Artiodactyla; Suidae.